Molecule: transfer RNA, 83 nt
Filed under: Candidatus Kaiserbacteria bacterium RIFCSPHIGHO2_02_FULL_56_30
Lineage: Bacteria; Candidatus Kaiseribacteriota
Also listed under: 2 other names
Description: tRNA-Leu
Rfam family: tRNA
About the family: Transfer RNA (tRNA) molecules are approximately 80 nucleotides in length. Their secondary structure includes four short double-helical elements and three loops (D, anti-codon, and T loops).
Source: RNAcentral
GGGCGAGUGGCGAAAUGGCAGACGCGCUACGUUCAGGUCGUAGUCCCCGAAAGGGGGUGGAGGUUCAAAUCCUCUCUCGCCCA